CAGACGCGGCAGGAGUAUUCCAAAUCCGUUUAAAGCCGGCGUGGACGAUGGCUGCGGAUGACCAAUACUCAAUCGUACCGGUGCGGCAUAUUCCCCCAAGUGUCGCAGCGGCCGAAGUGCCGAGGACCGCGCACUUCGUUUGACUCCUAAUGGUCUUGACCCGGAUUCCGUCCCGAAGCCGG
Small RNA from Pseudomonas fulva 12-X, 182 nucleotides. It matches the Rfam family "RgsA sRNA". Rfam says of the family: P16 sRNA appears to be conserved across several Pseudomonas species and Azotobacter vinelandii. In these species it is consistently located downstream of a predicted TatD deoxyribonuclease gene. The record is from Rfam. NCBI's taxonomy places the organism in Bacteria, Pseudomonadati, Pseudomonadota, Gammaproteobacteria, Pseudomonadales, Pseudomonadaceae.